Molecule: transfer RNA, 66 nt
Filed under: Sargus mactans
Lineage: Eukaryota; Metazoa; Arthropoda; Insecta; Diptera; Stratiomyidae
Description: tRNA-His
Rfam family: tRNA
About the family: Transfer RNA (tRNA) molecules are approximately 80 nucleotides in length. Their secondary structure includes four short double-helical elements and three loops (D, anti-codon, and T loops). Further hydrogen bonds mediate the characteristic L-shaped molecular structure. tRNAs have two regions of fundamental functional importance: the anti-codon, which is responsible for specific mRNA codon recognition, and the 3' end, to which the tRNAs corresponding amino acid is attached (by aminoacyl-tRNA synthetases). tRNAs cope with the degeneracy of the genetic code in two manners: having more than one tRNA (with a specific anti-codon) for a particular amino acid; and 'wobble' base-pairing, i.e. permitting non-standard base-pairing at the 3rd anti-codon position.
Source: RNAcentral
GUUUAAAUAGUUUAAUAAAAAUAUUGAUUUGUGGUGUCAAAGAUAUGGGAUUGUUCAUUUUAGACC